GAGCAUGAGUGAAGAAUGGUGCGAAGAUUGUCGUCAGCUUCAGGAGCUUGAAAGGAGACACCAGCUUCGCUCUCUUAUGCCGAUAUUACUUAAUAGUCUAACAACAAAAUCAAAAUUUAGAAGGAAAAGAAAAUUAACAAUAGACUUAUUGGGGGAAACAUAGACUUAAUAAUAAACUCAAGUGUUAGGGAUUUCAACAUAUUUGGGGAAAACAAUAGAAAAUUUAGAAAAAGUGAAAUUAGAGAUUUAGGAUUAAUGAUUAUAGUAGAAGAGUCAACUAGUUAGAGAUUUUUAUUCAAAAUUGAAGAGAAUCAAACCUUAGAAGAAGCUUUGAUUUGAGUUGGUGAAAUUAAGAUAAACUUGUCAAUAUCUUUGAAAAAGGCUUUCUUCCAUCGUACCAUCGGCGCUGAUGACGGAGAAACACAUCUUUCCGGCGAAGAAAUGGAUUCAGUUAUGGUUCAACAUCAAAUGAUCAAAUCGAAAUUGUUGAUUUCCGAUGACAUUCAUCGCAGGGAUUUGUCGUCUUCG
RNAcentral lists this long non-coding RNA (528 nucleotides) under Lupinus angustifolius (narrow-leaved blue lupine). Its description in RNAcentral is "long non-coding RNA (LANG_LNC003520)". Lineage: Eukaryota; Viridiplantae; Streptophyta; Magnoliopsida; Fabales; Fabaceae. The record is from RNAcentral.